AUUGAACGCUGGCGGCAUGCCUUACACAUGCAAGUCGAACGGCAGCACGGGUGCUUGCACCUGGUGGCGAGUGGCGAACGGGUGAGUAAUACAUCGGAGCAUGUCCUGUAGUGGGGGAUAGCCCGGCGAAAGCCGGAUUAAUACCGCACACGAUCUACGGAUGAAAGCGGGGGACCUUCGGGCCUCGCGCUAUAGGGUUGGCCGAUGGCUGAUUAGCUAGUUGGUGGGGUAAAGGCCUACCAAGGCGACGAUCAGUAGCUGGUCUGAGAGGACGACCAGCCACACUGGGACUGAGACACGGCCCAGACUCCUACGGGAGGCAGCAGUGGGGAAUUUUGGACAAUGGGCGAAAGCCUGAUCCAGCAAUGCCGCGUGUGUGAAGAAGGCCUUCGGGUUGUAAAGCACUUUUGUCCGGAAAGAAAUCCUUGGCCCUAAUACGGUCGGGGGAUGACGGUACCGGAAGAAUAAGCACCGGCUAACUACGUG
RNAcentral lists this ribosomal RNA (486 nucleotides) under uncultured bacterium. Its description in RNAcentral is "partial 16S ribosomal RNA". It matches the Rfam family "Bacterial small subunit ribosomal RNA", at positions 30 to 507 of the family's 1533-position model. The record is from RNAcentral.